Molecule: non-coding RNA, 73 nt
Organism: Cydia pomonella (codling moth)
Lineage: Eukaryota; Metazoa; Arthropoda; Insecta; Lepidoptera; Tortricidae
Source: the annotation of a RefSeq genome assembly
GUUUUGGUAGCUCAGGUGGCAGAGCACUGGACUAGCGAUCCAGUCGUCGUGGGUUCAAGUCCCACCCAAGACU